This 458-nucleotide ribosomal RNA is filed under the name uncultured bacterium. RNAcentral describes it as "partial 16S ribosomal RNA". It matches the Rfam family "Bacterial small subunit ribosomal RNA", at positions 338 to 795 of the family's 1533-position model. The record is from RNAcentral.
CCUACGGGUGGCAGCAGUGAGGAAUAUUGGUCAAUGGGCGAGAGCCUGAACCAGCCAAGUCGCGUGAGGGAGGACUGCCCUAUGGGUUGUAAACCUCUUUUGUCGGGGAGCAAAAGCCGGACGUGUCCGGCUGUGAGAGUACCCGAAGAAAAAGCAUCGGCUAACUCCGUGCCAGCAGCCGCGGUAAUACGGAGGAUGCGAGCGUUAUCCGGAUUUAUUGGGUUUAAAGGGUGCGCAGGCGGAUUUUUAAGUCAGCGGUAAAAUCGUGGGGCUCAACCCCAUCCAGCCGUGGAAACUGGGGAUCUAGAGUGUGCGAGAGGUAUGCGGAAUGCGUGGUGUAGCGGUGAAAUGCAUAGAUAUCACGCAGAACCCCGAUUGCGAAGGCAGCAUACCGGUGCACAACUGACGCUCAGGCACGAAAGCGUGGGUAUCGAACAGGAUUAGAUACCCGUGUAGUC